Non-coding RNA from Hypoxylon sp. NC1633, 101 nucleotides. The record is from the annotation of a GenBank genome assembly. Lineage: Eukaryota; Fungi; Ascomycota; Sordariomycetes; Xylariales; Hypoxylaceae.
GCCCGCCUAGCUCAAUGGUUAGAGCGUGGGACUUUUACCUGUGCCUUGUUGCAAGGCAAGCGAAAAUCCCAAGGCUGCGAGUUCGAGUCUCGCGGUGGGCG